Carassius gibelio (silver crucian carp) is the source of this 1399-nucleotide long non-coding RNA. RefSeq lists it as uncharacterized. NCBI's taxonomy places the organism in Eukaryota, Metazoa, Chordata, Actinopteri, Cypriniformes, Cyprinidae. The transcript has 2 exons. The record is from RefSeq and is a predicted model, not a curated record.
AUCUCUAUGUACGUCACUAGGAACACUUUGCAUAAUAAUCUCCGCCUACCGUCUUGGGAGAAACUGACCUCUGACCUGCCCCCCCCACACACAGACGCUCUGGUUGGUGUGAUAGCAUCAUGUCGAGGAGACCGUUUGUUUUAUUUUCACUGCCAAAGAAUGAAGAUCAGGAGAACCAAUGGCUAAAAUUCAUUUUCACCACAAUACCAGAGCAGUACAACAAACCUUUUGUUGUGUUCACAACAUUUCACUGAUGACUGCUUUUCUAAUCUCGGAUCGCCAUCCCAGGGUUUCUAGAGAUUACAGCAGCUCCAGACUGAAUCCAGACUCACUUGUGAAGACUUCAGAUGACACCAACGCUCACAAAGACUACAACUGUACAUGAACACAUAAUACAUUUGACACACAAAACAAAUAUUAUCCUUAUUUUGCCUAUAAGGGUAAAUUUGAUGAUUUUCAACCUGCUUUAUUGUAACGUCUCUUAUAUCUGUAAAUGAACAAUAUUUACUCUCUCUGAGUUAUGUGGACCUACAUGUCCCCUUUUAUUUGUAAGCAUCACUCUGCAGGAUGAUCCAAAAUGAAAUGACGAGUUUUGACGAAAUGACACAAUGCAGCAUCUAAAUGAAAACAUGCUGUUUUGCAUCAGUUUUGCUGGCAAAUAAACGGUAUCUUGGAGAAAGAAUAAACAUUGUUCUUUUACAAAUGUUACCAACAAUAUAACAAUACAAAAUGGAUUGAUUUUUUUUUUACUUACCCUUUAAAGAUGUUGAAAGAUAAUGUUAAUGUUAACUGAAUUCAAAACUAGAGACUUGUUUAGUAAGAUUUUAUCAGAAAAUAUUUUUGAAUUUUUAUCAUGCAAUUUAAAACAUUUUAAUUGCUUAAUUAUUGUUUGCCUGGUUUUAUUUUGUGUUUAUGUAACUCUUUUUAAAAAGUUCUUGGCAUAAAGUUAGCCUGCGCUGCUGACAGCACUGAACACAUGACUUUUUAUUAUGAACUAGAUGGUCUUCCUAGUGAGUCUCAGUCAUCUCUGGCUUUUUAAACUGUAACCUUGAAAUAUGCAUUUCCUGUAAACCUACUUUGAAAUAAGUAUUGUGAAAAAAGUGCUAUAUUCAUACAACAUUUAACCAGCAAGUACUGUAGGAAUUGUUAUUUUUGUUUUUACUAUGGUUUUAAUGCAAAAGCUGUAGUAAAAUCAUGGUGAUUGUAGUAAAACUAUGGUUGAUUUUGUUUUUUCUAUGGUUUUACUGCAAAAGCUGUGGUAAAAUCAUGGUUAAUUUUCAAAAGACUACAAAUAAUCCAGAAUUAUCCACUUUUGAUCAAAGCAUCUGGUAAAUGUUAAUGUAUUUGUACAUGUAAUAUGAAAUAAAUGAAAUAUUAAUAAAGUUGCAUCUGUUCUUGA